UACGUAGGUGGCGAGCGUUGUCCGGAAUCACUGGGCGUAAAGGGCGCGUAGGCGGUUUGACAAGUCACAUGUGAAAUACCAGGGCUCAACUCUGGGGGGUCAUGUGAAACUGUCUGACUUGAGUGCAGUAGAGGAAAGCGGAAUUCCUGGUGUAGCGGUAAAAUGCGUAGAGAUCAGGAGGAACACCGGUGGCGAAGGCGGCUUUCUGGGCUGUAACUGACGCUGAGGCGCGAAAGCGUGGGGAGCAAACAGG
RNAcentral lists this ribosomal RNA (253 nucleotides) under Planctomycetia bacterium. Its description in RNAcentral is "partial 16S ribosomal RNA". It matches the Rfam family "Bacterial small subunit ribosomal RNA", at positions 524 to 776 of the family's 1533-position model. RNAcentral also lists the same sequence under 1 other name. The record is from RNAcentral. Lineage: Bacteria; Pseudomonadati; Planctomycetota; Planctomycetia.